UAUUGCACAAUGGGCGCAAGCCUGAUGCAGCCAUGCCGCGCGUAUGAAGCAGGCCUUUGGGUUGUAAAGUACUUUCAGCGGGGCGGAAGGGAGUAAAGUUAAUACCUUUGCUCAUUUACGUUACCCUCAGAAGAAGCACCGACUAACUCCGUGCCAGCAGCCGCGGUAAUACGGAGGGUGCAAGCGUUAAUCGGAAUUACUGGGCGUAAAGCGCACGCAGGCGGUUUGUUAAGUCAGAUGUGAAAUCCCCGGGCUCAACCUGGGAACUGCAUCUGAUACUGGCAAGCUUGUGUCUCGUAGAGGGGGGUAGAAUUCCAGGUGUAGCGGUGAAAUGCGUAGAGAUCUGGAGGAAUACCGGUGGCGAAGGCGGCCCCCUGGACGAAGACUGACGCUCAGGUGCGAAAGCGUGGGGAGCAAA
RNAcentral lists this ribosomal RNA (418 nucleotides) under uncultured bacterium. Its description in RNAcentral is "bacterial SSU rRNA". It matches the Rfam family "Bacterial small subunit ribosomal RNA", at positions 362 to 772 of the family's 1533-position model. The record is from RNAcentral.